RNAcentral lists this ribosomal RNA (400 nucleotides) under uncultured bacterium. RNAcentral describes it as "bacterial SSU rRNA". It matches the Rfam family "Bacterial small subunit ribosomal RNA", at positions 355 to 771 of the family's 1533-position model. The record is from RNAcentral.
UAGGGGAUAUUGGUGAAUGGGCGAAAGCCUGAACCAGCAACGCCGCGUGUGCGAUGACGGCCUUCGGGUUGUAAAGCACUUUUUGCCGGGAAGAGGAAGGACGGUACCGGUAGAAUCAGCCUCGGCUAACUACGUGCCAGCAGCCGCGGUAAAACGUAGGAGGCGAGCGUUAUCCGGAUUUACUGGGUGUAAAGCGCGUGCAGGCGGUUUGAUAAGUUGGGUGUGAAAGCUCCUGGCUCAACUGGGAGAGGUCGCUCAAGACUGUCAGACUAGAGGAUGGUAGGGGAAGGCGGAAUUCCGGGUGUAGUGGUGAAAUGCGUAGAUAUCCGGAGGAACACCAGUGGCGAAAGCGGCCUUCUGGACCAUGACUGACGCUCAGACGCGAAAGCUAGGGGAGCAA